UCCAUAUUACUAGAAUACUAGACCCGUAAGGGUUCGAAUUUUCUGGUUUUUUUGGAAUUUUUUUUACUGCCCUUGUUUGAGGGACACGUGUGCAGGUUGGUUUUCUAGAGUGGACUGGUUUUAUUUUUUGCUUGGUGGGAUUGUUCUAGCACGUCUGAUUCUGUGCAUGCUUGCCACGUCCAGUGUCCUUGUGUCGUUGACUGCCACUCAAUCGAUGGACACGUUGCCUUCUAGGCUUUUCUGGUGGGCUUCAUCUUUGUUUUUUCUCUUUCGACUGUCUAUAAGUAGUUGGCCUGCUGUUGGUUCACGUUCUCCGUAAGCCCAACCCAGAUUACUUCGCUGCUGUCUCCUGUCCUCCGUCUCUGCGCGCGGCCUCAUCCUCCUCCAACCUGGUAGGCGGCAGCCCCUAGCGCCGGCCCUUUUGUUUCCCUCCACCGAGAUCGAGAUGGUGGUGCGCCGCUGCGCCCUAUCCUCCCCAGCUUGGUCGCUGGCCAGCCCCUAACGCCAGGCCCUCCGUUUUCCUCCAGCGAGGCUGAGAUGGCAGUGUCGUGCUGCGCCCCGCCGGCCUCGCCGUCCGGGAUGCUCAGCAGGUGCUGCAGCGCCAUCGUUAGCGGGGUCUCGGAGUCCAGCCCGAACAUCCCACCCUCCAUUCUUGCUCACUGAUCGAUCUCCUCAGUGUUGGAUUACUUGUUGAUUAUAUAUAGGCAGGCUACCGGAGGACGUGCAAGCACCAAGCAGGCGGCAGACUACGCGCUCCCAACCUGCCUGCGAGGACGGAGAAGGAGCAGGAUGCGCACUGUCUGUGAGGCCUGCUGCCACCGGUCGUCCUGCCCCAUGAGCUUCACGAGAAGCGGCUCCCAACAAACAUGCCCAUGGACCUUCAGAUCAGAAUCGAAGCCUCCUCACCACGCGUGAGAUUUUGUGCAUGGUUGGGAGGGAGGCGAGUCUUCGUUUGUGUCCCUGCUGAGUCUUUUCCUGUUCGGUGAGUCUUCGUUUGUGUCCCUGCUGAGUCUUUUCCUGUUCGUUUCGUCUCUGUUAUGGUUCGUUCCGGUGCUCAUGCUUCCCAGCGUAUUCGCUCCACGUCGUUGGGUUCUUCUUCCUUGGUGGGUUCCUCUUUGCCGGUUGGUGGUGUUGAUGGGAGGUUUCUUGCCCAAGGUGGUUCUGUUCCUCAUUCGAGUGCUGAUGAGGCGCGGCGGCAACGCCAGGCACGGCAAGAUAUCCGUCGUGGGAAGCGCCCUCUAGAUUCAUCGUCCGUUGGAAGGAACGUUUGCCCUGUACUUGAAGAGCUGGUUGAUCCUUGUCUUCUUGCUGUUAGGGGUGCAUCUGAUGUCGAAGUUUUGUAUCGUCCGUAUUUUGUUGCUGGUUGGUUGUCUGGUUCCUCGCGUGGACUGACUCCUUCUGUUCUUCCUACACCUGUUGUUAGUCGUGCUGAUGCUGUUUGGAAUCGUCGGAAGCGAAGGAUUCUUCGAGAUUAUUACACUGGUAAAAAAUAGUUCCUGCUAUGGAACCGCCAUUUGCUAAGGAAAAUAUAUUACUUCUUAAAGCCGUUUCACGUGUUCGCUCUUAUUAUGGUGGUCCUGAGUAUGUUUGCCCGGUGUGCCAUGCUUCAUUUUGGUUUUUGGAGGGCUGUAAGACUUAUGCUGCCGGUGGUGGUCGCCUUCCAGUGUAUAGUGGCUGUUGCAAGGGAGGCAAGGUGUCGUUGCCUUCAUUUCCAGAUUGGCCAUCUCCUCUUAAGGAUUUGAUUAAGUUUGAUGGAGGUCCUGUCUCUAGCCGUUUCAUGCGUUUGAUUAGAUAUUACAAUUCUAUGUUUUGCUUCACAUCUCUUGGCGCUCGAGUUGAUCAGAGUAUUAAUGUUGGCGGAUCCCUAUGUUUUCAAGAUGAAUGGGGUGGUUUAUCAUCAUAUUGGUCCUCUUAUUCCUUCAGGGAAUAGUGCGCCAAAGUAUGCUCAGCUUUAUAUGGUGGACUCUGCUGAUGAAGUGCAGUUGAGAAUUAGUGCCUUUGAUCGUCAAGGAGCUGAAACGCUUGAUCCUGAUCCAGGCAUUGUGGCCUCUCUUAUUGCUAUGUUAAAUAGGCAUCAUAAAUUGGUGCAUAAGUUUAGAAUGGCUAGGGCAAAUCUGUGUUCUCCUUCUGCUCCUAGGGUGGCUAUACAUUUUAUGGGUGAUGAAGGCGGUGGUCAUGGUGACCGUUUUUCUGGUCCUGCUUCAUGUGAGGUGGCCGCUCUUAUUGUCGGCGAUUACACGCUUGAAUGUAAAAGAUUUGAUGUUAUUGCUGAAACUCGCUCUGGUUUUCUUCAGCAUAUCUCUUCGUUGAAUUCGAGUCUUAUGCCCCUACAGUAUCCUCUAUUAUUUCCCUUUGGUGACAAAGGAUUUCAUCUUGGUAUCAAGUAUAUUGCUACUGGUGGGCCUCAUGGAGAUGGGCAUUGUAAUAUUGGUGGGCGUUUACGUGGUCGUUCUUCAGGAGGGCAAGUAUCUAUGAUGGAAUACUAUAAUUAUUACUUCCACUAUAGACGGGGGGAGCCAAAUCCUUAUACCUGUUGUGGUCGUUUGAGCCAGCAGAUAGGGUGGAUCAACUGGUGAGAAUUUGGGGAUUCAGUUUAUAUUACAUUCGAGUUUUACGGGUGGUCCUUGGUACAUGAUGCUUAAUUACCAUGAUGGUAUGGCUAUUUGUCGCGAAUAUGGUGCUCCCGAUCUUUUUGUCACUUUUACAUGCAAUCCAAAGUGGCAAGAAGUGAUGCUCUCGCAUAUGAAGGUGGUCAGACUCACGUUGAUCGUCCUGACGUUGUUACACGUGCUUUCAAUAUAAAAUUUGAAGAAUUUUUAGAAGAUGUAAAGAAUGGAUCAGCAUUUGGAGCUAUUCAAGCUUAUUUGUAUGUGGUGGAAUUUCAAAAGAGAGGGCUUCCUCAUACUCAUACUCUUAUCUGGCUUAAAGAGAGUACGAAGGAUCCUUCGCCUGCUUUUAUAGAUAAUCUGGUGUGUGCUGAGUUACCAGAUCCAAUGGUUGACCCUUCGGGAUAUACACUUGUGGAUGAAUUCAUGGUUCACGGCCCAUGUGGUAUGUUAGAUGACAAGUGUCCUUGUAUGAAAGAUGGCACUUGCUCAAAGCGGUUUCCAAAGUCUUUUAACAGUGAGAUGAUGGUGGAUGAGAUGGGGUUUCCUGUAUAUCGUCGACGCCCCUCUGCUAAUUUUGUUCUUAGAAAGAAGGGGACUCUUCGUUUGAAUAAUUUGGAAAGAUGGUUAAGGUGGUUCCGUCUCUUGGUCUAUGUAAUGGGACACGUUUGAUUGUCACUCGCCUUGGCCACAGAGUUAUAGAAGGUGAAAUCAUUACUGGUUCACAUAAAGGGGAACGAGUUUGUAUUCCGCGUAUUGUGCUUAAUUCUCCUGGGUGUAAAUGGCCUUUCACAUUGCGUCGUUGCCAGCUUCCAAUUCGGCUGUGUUAUGCGAUGACAAUAAAUAAAAGUCAAGGGCAAACUUUAUAUAAGAUUUGUGUGUAUUUGAGGAAUCCGGUUUUUUCACAUGGACAAUUGUAUGUAGCCGUCUCGCGUGUUACGUCCUGGAAGGGUCUAAAAUUCUUAAUUGAAGAUGAGAACGGAGAACAUUCGCCAAUCACAAGGAAUGUAGUCUAUGAAGAAAUCAUUCGUCGUUUAUAGUUCCAUUCUUACAUGCUUAUGGUUCUUGUUGUGCAUAACGAAAACCAGCCUUCGGCAUUCAGGGAGUGCUUCGCUGCCGUAGAUUCCAGCAUGACACGUCUAUAUAGUGUAAGAGGUGAUUGCUAAUGCCAUCUUGGAUGAUUACGCUGAACGGUUAGAGAUGUCCAAGCAGAUGGACGGGGAAGAGGCAGGUGAGCAAGCAAAUAUGGAAUAGGGUGUUAACAAUCUGAAG
RNAcentral lists this ribosomal RNA (3878 nucleotides) under Triticum aestivum (bread wheat). Its description in RNAcentral is "partial small subunit ribosomal RNA". The record is from RNAcentral. Lineage: Eukaryota; Viridiplantae; Streptophyta; Magnoliopsida; Poales; Poaceae.